AUUGAACGCUGGCGGCAGGCCUAACACAUGCAAGUCGAACGGCAGCGGGGAGUACUUGCUACUCUGCCGGCGAGUGGCGGACGGGUGAGUAAUGCCUGGGGAGCUGCCCAAUCGAGGGGGAUACCAGUUGGAAACGACUGCUAAUACCGCAUACGCCCUGAGGGGGAAAGGUGGGGAUCUUCGGACCUACCGCGAUUGGAUGCACCCAGGUGGGAUUAGCUGGUUGGUGAGGUAACGGCUCACCAAGGCGACGAUCUCUAGCUGGUCUGAGAGGAUGACCAGCCACACUGGAACUGAGACACGGUCCAGACUCCUACGGGAGGCAGCAGUGGGGAAUAUUGCACAAUGGGGGAAACCCUGAUGCAGCCAUGCCGCGUGUGUGAAGAAGGCC
RNAcentral lists this ribosomal RNA (391 nucleotides) under uncultured bacterium. RNAcentral's name for it is "bacterial SSU rRNA". It matches the Rfam family "Bacterial small subunit ribosomal RNA", at positions 29 to 416 of the family's 1533-position model. The record is from RNAcentral.